Molecule: ribosomal RNA, 138 nt
Filed under: uncultured eukaryote
Lineage: Eukaryota
Description: partial 18S ribosomal RNA
Rfam family: Eukaryotic small subunit ribosomal RNA
Source: RNAcentral
UGGUGGAGUGAUUUGUCUGGUUAAUUCCGUUAACGAACGAGACCUCGCCCUGCUAAAUAGGUGGCAGCUUCACGAAGCUGUUCUCCUGCUUAGAGGGACAACCGGCUCCUAAGCCGGCGGAAGCACGAGGCAAUAACA